UAGCAUAUCAAUAAGCGGAGGAAAAGAAACCAACAGGGAUUGCCCUAGUAACGGCGAGUGAAGCGGCAACAGCUCAAAUUUGAAAUCUGGCUCUUUCAGAGUCCGAGUUGUAAUUUGCAGAGGGCGCUUUGGCUUUGGCAGCGGUCCAAGUUCCUUGGAACAGGACGUCACAGAGGGUGAGAAUCCCGUACGUGGUCGCUAGCUAUUGCCGUGUAAAGCCCCUUCGACGAGUCGAGUUGUUUGGGAAUGCAGCUCUAAAUGGGAGGUAAAUUUCUUCUAAAGCUAAAUAUUGGCCAGAGACCGAUAGCGCACAAGUAGAGUGAUCGAAAGAUGAAAAGCACUUUGGAAAGAGAGUCAAACAGCACGUGAAAUUGUUGAAAGGGAAGCGCUUGCAGCCAGACUUGCUUGCAGUUGCUCAUCCGGGCUUUUGCCCGGUGCACUCUUCUGUAGGCAGGCCAGCAUCAGUUUGGGCGGUGGGAUAAAGGUCUCUGUCACGUACCUCUCUUCGGGGAGGCCUUAUAGGGGAGACGACAUACCACCAGCCUAGACUGAGGUCCGCGCAUCUGCUAGGAUGCUGGCGUAAUGGCUGUAAGCGGCCCGUCUUGAAACACGGACCAAGGAGUCUAACAUCUAUGCGAGUGUUUGGGUGUCAAGCCCGAGCGCGUAAUGAAAGUGAACGGAGGUGGGAACCCGCAAGGGUGCACCAUCGACCGAUCCUGAAGUUUACGGAAGGAUUUGAGUAAGAGCAUGGCUGUUGGGACCCGAAAGAUGGUGAACUAUGCUUGAAUAGGGUGAAGCCAGAGGAAACUCUGGUGGAGGCUCGCAGCGGUUCUGACGUGCAAAUCGAUCGUCAAAUUUGGGCAUAGGGGCGAAAGACUAAUCGAACUAUCUAGUAGCUGGUUCCUGCCGAAGUU
Molecule: ribosomal RNA, 914 nt
Filed under: Bipolaris coffeana
Lineage: Eukaryota; Fungi; Ascomycota; Dothideomycetes; Pleosporales; Pleosporaceae
Description: LSU rRNA
Rfam family: Eukaryotic large subunit ribosomal RNA
Source: RNAcentral